RNAcentral lists this ribosomal RNA (248 nucleotides) under uncultured bacterium. RNAcentral describes it as "partial 16S ribosomal RNA". It matches the Rfam family "Bacterial small subunit ribosomal RNA", at positions 57 to 305 of the family's 1533-position model. The record is from RNAcentral.
GCAAGUCGAACGAACUAUCUUCGGAUAGUUAGUGGCGAACGGGUGAGGAACACGUAAGAAACCUGCCCCACAGACGAGGAUAACUAUUGGAAACGAUAGCUAAUACUGGAUAUGAUAUCUGAUCGCAUGAUCUAAUAUUUAAAGGUGCUUUCAAGCACCACUGUGGGAUGGUCUUGCGUUGCAUUAGCUUGUUGGUAGGGUAACGGCCUACCAAGGCGACGAUCUCUAGCUGUUCUGAGAGGAAGAUC